RNAcentral lists this ribosomal RNA (909 nucleotides) under Bacillus licheniformis. RNAcentral describes it as "bacterial SSU rRNA". It matches the Rfam family "Bacterial small subunit ribosomal RNA", at positions 56 to 952 of the family's 1533-position model. Lineage: Bacteria; Bacillati; Bacillota; Bacilli; Caryophanales; Bacillaceae. The record is from RNAcentral.
UGCAAGUCGAGCGGACCGACGGGAGCUUGCUCCCUUAGGUCAGCGGCGGACGGGUGAGUAACACGUGGGUAACCUGCCUGUAAGACUGGGAUAACUCCGGGAAACCGGGGCUAAUACCGGAUGCUUGAUUGAACCGCAUGGUUCAAUCAUAAAAGGUGGCUUUUAGCUACCACUUACAGAUGGACCCGCGGCGCAUUAGCUAGUUGGUGAGGUAACGGCUCACCAAGGCGACGAUGCGUAGCCGACCUGAGAGGGUGAUCGGCCACACUGGGACUGAGACACGGCCCAGACUCCUACGGGAGGCAGCAGUAGGGAAUCUUCCGCAAUGGACGAAAGUCUGACGGAGCAACGCCGCGUGAGUGAUGAAGGUUUUCGGAUCGUAAAACUCUGUUGUUAGGGAAGAACAAGUACCGUUCGAAUAGGGCGGCACCUUGACGGUACCUAACCAGAAAGCCACGGCUAACUACGUGCCAGCAGCCGCGGUAAUACGUAGGUGGCAAGCGUUGUCCGGAAUUAUUGGGCGUAAAGCGCGCGCAGGCGGUUUCUUAAGUCUGAUGUGAAAGCCCCCGGCUCAACCGGGGAGGGUCAUUGGAAACUGGGGAACUUGAGUGCAGAAGAGGAGAGUGGAAUUCCACGUGUAGCGGUGAAAUGCGUAGAGAUGUGGAGGAACACCAGUGGCGAAGGCGACUCUCUGGUCUGUAACUGACGCUGAAGCGCGAAAGCGUGGGGAGCGAACAGGAUUAGAUACCCUGGUAGUCCACGCCGUAAACGAUGAGUGCUAAGUGUUAGAGGGUUUCCGCCCUUUAGUGCUGCAGCAAACGCAUUAAGCACUCCGCCUGGGGAGUACGUCGCAAGACUGAACUCAAAGAAUUGACGGGGCCGCACAAGCGGUGGAGCAUGUGUUAAUUC